AGUGCUCUGCACCUGACCCCAGAUCUCCAUCGGAAUACAGAAAAGAUUUUAUAAAAAAAAGAAAACAAGAAGUUUGAAUUCCUGAAUGAUUUUUUUCUGCAGAUAGGAGCUUAGAAUAAUGAUUUCAGCUUUCUUGGGGGCAGAUUAGUCGCAGUGUCGCUGCUGUCUCUCAAUACGCGCUGUACAUGUCUCUUCAAUGUGC
Molecule: non-coding RNA, 202 nt
Organism: Xenopus laevis (African clawed frog)
Lineage: Eukaryota; Metazoa; Chordata; Amphibia; Anura; Pipidae
Source: Rfam